RNAcentral lists this ribosomal RNA (386 nucleotides) under uncultured bacterium. RNAcentral's name for it is "bacterial SSU rRNA". It matches the Rfam family "Bacterial small subunit ribosomal RNA", at positions 28 to 415 of the family's 1533-position model. The record is from RNAcentral.
GACGAACGCUGGCGGCGUGCUUAACACAUGCAAGUCGAGCGGUAAGGCCCUUUCGGGGGUACACGAGCGGCGAACGGGUGAGUAACACGUGGGUGACCUGCCCUCAGCUCUGGGAUAAGCCUGGGAAACCGGGUCUAAUACUGGAUAUGACUCCAUGACGCAUGUUGUGGGGUGGAAAGCCUUGUGCGGCUGAGGAUGGGCCCGCGGCCUAUCAGCUUGUUGGUGGGGUGAUGGCCUACCAAGGCGACGACGGGUAGCCGGCCUGAGAGGGCGACCGGCCACACUGGGACUGAGACACGGCCCAGACUCCUACGGGAGGCAGCAGUGGGGAAUCCUGCGCAAUGGGCGAAAGCCUGACGCAGCGACGCCGCGUGAGGGAUGACGCC